UACGUAGGUGGCAAGCGUUGUUCGGAAUUACUGGGCGUAAAGGGCGCGUAGGCGGUCCGAUAAGUCCCGUGUGAAAUCCCUCGGCUCAACUGAGGAAUGGCACGGGAAACUGCCGGGCUUGAGUUCGGGAGAGGGAAGCGGAAUUCCGGGUGUAGCGGUGAAAUGCGUAGAUAUCCGGAGGAACACCGGUGGCGAAGGCGGCUUCCUGGACCGACACUGACGCUGAGGCGCGAAAGCUAGGGGAGCAAACGGG
RNAcentral lists this ribosomal RNA (253 nucleotides) under uncultured bacterium. RNAcentral's name for it is "partial 16S ribosomal RNA". It matches the Rfam family "Bacterial small subunit ribosomal RNA", at positions 524 to 776 of the family's 1533-position model. The record is from RNAcentral.